RNAcentral lists this ribosomal RNA (253 nucleotides) under uncultured bacterium. RNAcentral's name for it is "partial 16S ribosomal RNA". It matches the Rfam family "Bacterial small subunit ribosomal RNA", at positions 524 to 776 of the family's 1533-position model. The record is from RNAcentral.
UACGGGGGGAGCAAACGUUGUUCGGAAUCACUGGGCGUAAAGGGCGCGUAGGCGGCUAGGUAAGUGGAGUGUUAAAUCUCCCGGCUCAACCGGGAACAUGCACUUCAUACUGCUUGGCUUGAGUAUAGGAGAGGAGACUGGAAUUCCCGGUGUAGCGGUGAAAUGCGCAGAUAUCAGGAAGAACACCCGUGGCGAAAGCGGCUCUCUGGAACGGUACUGACGCUGAGACGCGAAAGCGUGGGGAGCGAACAGG